RNAcentral lists this long non-coding RNA (1930 nucleotides) under Ficedula albicollis (Collared flycatcher). Its description in RNAcentral is "lncRNA (ENSFALG00000027837.1)". Lineage: Eukaryota; Metazoa; Chordata; Aves; Passeriformes; Muscicapidae. The record is from RNAcentral.
GGGGAUCCCAUCCCUCACACCCCGUUUGGGGGGAUCCCAUCCCUCACACCCCGUUUGGAAGUGCCUGCGGCCCCGAGGCAGCCAGUGUCGCACGCACAGAGCACCGUCCUGUUGCCGUGUCACGCUGCACCGGGCUGAUCUCCUGCCGUGCUGGCACAGGUGACAGCAAGGUCCGUGCCCCCAGUGCCGGGCUCUGCCUGGAACACGCUGCCUCGCUGCGUUUGCUUUGCUUUUUAAGCCUUUUCCACUUGUUUAUACACGCUGAAACUGCUGCUCGCUCCUCCGCAGGAGUGAUUGUGCGCGUAAAAACUUGGGGGGUUUUUUAACCUUUUUCUUUCCCAGUACAGACACAAAGGCAGAGGCGAGGAAGGCUCACCUGAAUACGAGGAUUUCUUCAUGCCGUCGCUGCGGGCUGUGACAUGGGAGCAGGGGCGAGGCCGGCUGGGGUGCGCGGGGCCGGGGCGGCUGGGGUGCGCGGUGCCGGGGGUGCCACGAUCCUUUUGUGGGCAGGGCCGGGGAGGGGACGCGCCCGGAGCCACCGCAUCCGUGCGUGCUGCGGCCGAGGGGCAGCUCCAGGUGCGGCGCACACCUUUCCCUAAUGAACGCACCUUUCCCUAAUGAACGCACCUUUCCCUGCCGCACACACCUUUCCCUAAUGAACACACCUUUCCCUAAUGAACACACCUUUCCCAGCUGCACACACCUUUCCCUAUGGAAAACACCUUUCCCAGCUGCACACACCUUUCCCUGUGGAACACGCCUUUCCCUAUGGAAAACACCUUUCCCUGCCGCACACACUUUUCCCUGUGGCACACACCUUCCCUUUCCCAGCCGCACACACCGGUGCGGGCUGGGCUGUUCCAAGUCUCCCGGUCCGGGCAGGGGAAGAGCGGGGCUCAGGCUCCCCCCCGGGCCGCCCCUUACCCCCAGGGCACCCCGAUCAUCCCCGGGGAUGGCCCUGCCAGCUCCCCGCCCCGCAAACCCCAGCUCCUGCAGCCGCCGCAGCCAAGGGAAGCGAUGGAAUUUCACGCCUCCAGCCCGGCGCACCCCGCGGAUUUGAUUCAGCCCUUGGCUGCUGGAGCAGCUCGGGUCAGCGCUGCUCUCCCGGCUCCAGUUCAAAGUGCAUUAGUGACCCGUGAAAACGCCUCUUUCCCCUCCAAACCCACUCGUCCGGGGCUCAUUCAAGGCUGCGAACCCCGCAAAUCGCUUGUGCAGGCUCACACCUCAUUUACUCGCUGCUGCGGGGGGGGAACAGAGAGCCACGGACCCCAGAAACAGCCCCAGACAUCGCCCCAGCCUCAGAACUGCCCAGAGAAUCAGCUUGGCUCAGAAGGGCAGGUUAAUGUUUAAUACAAUGCAGAGCCCACAGGCUUCAAAUAGGCAGGCCCAGGGCAGUUUCUCCCGGGCUUUGCAGAGGAGGAAUCUCUCCAGCAACAACUGGAUGCACUGUGAGCUGGUCCCUCAGCAACCCUGGCACUGCUCAUCCCCAGCUCACACCAUCACUGCUGCACGUGGGUUUGAUUUUUGGGGGCUUUUUUUGUUUGUUUGGGUCUUUGGGGGGUUUUUUGUGGGUUUUUUGGAGGGUGGGGAGGUGUUUUAGAGUCUUUUUUUAUUGUUGUUGUUGGAUUUUUUUUUUAUUUAUUUUGUGGGUUUUUUUUGUUGUGGGUGUUGUUUUUUUGUUGUUUUUUUUUUUUUUUUUAUUGUUGUUGUUGGAUUUUUUUUUAAUUUAUUUUGUGGGGGUUUUUUUGUUGUGGGUUUGUUUUUUUUUUUUUUUUUUUUUUUUUUUUUUUUUUUUUUUUUGCUUUUGUCCAUGGUCAUUUUAGCAUCUCUCACACAGCUAAUUAUGACAGUAACCCUUCACAGACAAUUACCAUAUCUUCCAAAGGUUUUGUUCACCUCGUUUAGUUUGGUCUGCUCACUUGCAGCCAGG